Micropterus salmoides (largemouth bass) is the source of this 232-nucleotide long non-coding RNA. RefSeq lists it as uncharacterized. Lineage: Eukaryota; Metazoa; Chordata; Actinopteri; Centrarchiformes; Centrarchidae. The transcript has 3 exons. The record is from RefSeq and is a predicted model, not a curated record.
CACCAAGGAAGCUACAGCUGUGUUUAUCACCUCUUGGUUUUUUCUCAUAACUUCUCCUCUGAGAGCCGUCGGCUGUCGCUCACUGUCUCAGAUCCAACAGGUCUUCUCAUCAAAGUGGUCGUCCUGCCGCUGACUCUGCUGUUGGUGAUCGCUGCCCUUUGUUUCUACCGUAAGGCCAGCAGGGGGCAGAAGCCGGGCAGGCAGGAGGACAUCGAGCUGGAUUAUUAUAGCC